GACGAACGCUGGCGGCGUGCAUAACACAUGCAAGUCAAGGGGGUCAGUAGCAAUACUGGCAACCGGCGAACGGGUGCGUAACACGUAAGCGACCUACCUCGAUGUGGGGCAUAGCCGGCCUAACGGCCGGGUAAUUCCGCAUAAGAUCCCGAUGAGGCAUCUCAUUGGGAUGAAACCAGUAAUGGGCGUCGAGAGGGGCUUGCGGCCUAUCAGCUAGUUGGUGAGGAACGGCUCACCAAGGCUACGACGGGUAGCUGGUCUGAGAGGAUGGCCAGCCACAUUGGGACUGAGAUACGGCCCAGACUCCUACGGGAGGCAGCAGUGGGGAAUCUUGCGCAAUGGCCUAACGGCUGACGCAGCGACGCCGCGUGAGGGAUGAAGCUUUCGGAGUGUAAACCUCUGUUGCCCGGGACGAAUAGCGGAUUAUUCCG
This 431-nucleotide ribosomal RNA is filed under the name uncultured bacterium. RNAcentral describes it as "bacterial SSU rRNA". It matches the Rfam family "Bacterial small subunit ribosomal RNA", at positions 28 to 467 of the family's 1533-position model. The record is from RNAcentral.